RNAcentral lists this long non-coding RNA (1076 nucleotides) under Zostera marina. RNAcentral's name for it is "long non-coding RNA (ZMAR_LNC004231)". Lineage: Eukaryota; Viridiplantae; Streptophyta; Magnoliopsida; Alismatales; Zosteraceae. The record is from RNAcentral.
UACGAUCAUCUAUGGUCAUCUACGAUUAUCAUCGAUUGGUUAAUAGUGUGAACGGAUCUCGCGGGGAGCGUUCCGUACCAUGCAAUCGCAUCGUCCGUGAGCGCCCUGCGGAACACCCGACACCAAAUGUCUUUCCGGCUCGUUCUGUCCUCCAUGUUGAUUCUGAACGAGUGGAGGUGGUCCUCCGGGUCGAUGUUCCCCUUGUACAAAGGGAUCUUCGGGGCUCUCCAAACAGGUGGUACUCGUUUUCUUAGUUUUUUCCAAUCUUUUAUUUUCGUAUUACCCUCUUUAAUCUCAAAUAUCUCUGUAAAAAUAAACACAUACAGAUCAUAACUUAUAAUAGCAAAAAAAACACUUAUAGUUAAAUUAAAAAUUUCAAAAACAGUAAAUAAUUCAAAGAUAAAGAAUGAAUAAGAAUUAAAAGCAGUAUGAUAUUCUGAUAUAGAAAUUAGAAAGAAAGAAAAGAGAGAUGCAAAUAGAAUAGAACAUCAGUAAAUACACUUGUUAGAAGAAUCCUAUGAUUCUAACAAUCAUUCGACCAAACAACAUUUUCAUUUAAAAAUUAUAAAACAAGAUAAUUUAAUCUCUAGUCAAACAAAUAAAGAUAUUAAAAAUUUGAAAAUUCAUUUGUUCAAUUGGUAAUGCUAAUUAGAUGAUUUUUUUUACCAAUUAAGUAAAAUGAAUCUGAAUUUUAUUAUUAACGUAAGAUAACAUUUACUAUAUAAAAAAUGACGAUGUUAGAAUUGAAAAAUCUUAACAAAACAAAAUGAAUCAAAGUUAUUAGGUCAUUUACAGACAACAAAUUAAAAUAUACAACAGUAUCACUGGAAAUGUGCAACCAUCAAAAAUAUUGACACAAAUAACAAACAUCAAAACAUUACAGAGUUACACUUAAAAAAAUAAUUUAAACAGAGAAAAAGAUGAAUGAAAAUAUGUGGUCAUUACAAGCAGCAAAAAUACAUGUAUGAAACUUAAACUGCAAAGCGGGUACCAGUAUAAAUAUAGCAUAUCAAAAUCAAACAACUCCAUCAAUCAAAAUGAGGGAGAGCUCCUGUAUCAAUGCAAGACAUCUGAAC